Molecule: long non-coding RNA, 637 nt
Filed under: Capsella rubella
Lineage: Eukaryota; Viridiplantae; Streptophyta; Magnoliopsida; Brassicales; Brassicaceae
Description: long non-coding RNA (CRUB_LNC000823)
Source: RNAcentral
UAAAUUGUUGCCCAUCAAAUGAAUGAGAUUAAGUGCCACGAUCUUCUCCUUCAAUACCUUCAUCGUCGCAUCCUCAUUGACCUCUGAAUCUGACGAGAGUGUAAUGUCCAAGACCGCCUAGGAAAGGCGCCAGAGAGAGGAGACGUGUGAGGACCAAUGGGUAAGAGAUUUUUCUGAUUAAUAUUUCUUCAUAGCUUCAGAGAAAUAGAACAUAGGAGUAACUUUGAAGAAAAUGUAGGUUUUUAAUAGAAAAUGUUUUGCGAGAAAGAGUAUUGUAACUUCAUCUCUGAAAAGAUUUUAUUGACACUUUCUUAAAUGUGUCAACCAUAGUCGAAGUUACGAUACCCUUUAUCUCAAAUCGCUCUAGUCAAAGACUACAGUUUCUUAAAAGCUACCUUUAUGUUAUACCAUUCUUCAGAAAUGAAACUGCAUCAAUCAGCAAAAUCUCUUACGCACUGGUCUUCACACGUCUCCUCUCCCUGUCCCUCCUAGGCGGUCUUGGAGAAGACACUCUUGCUGGAUUCAGAAGUCAGUGAGGUGCGGUGAAGGAAUGAAGGAGAAGAUCAAAUGGCACUUGAUGUGAAAUGUUGUCGGAGAAGAAGAUAAUUUAUACAAUCUUUCAUUGUUGCUACUUCUU